AACGAACGCUGGCGGCAUGCCUAACACAUGCAAGUCGAACGAGACCUUCGGGUCUAGUGGCGCACGGGUGCGUAACGCGUGGGAACCUGCCCUUAGGUUCGGAAUAACUCCCCGAAUGGGGUGCUAAUACCGGAUCAUGUCUUCGGACCAAAGUUUUAUCGCCUUUGGAUGGGCCCGCGUUGUAUUAGCUAGUUGUUAGGGUAAAAGCCUACCACGGCGACGAUCCAUAGCUGGUCUGAGAGGAUGAUCAGCCACACUGGGACUGAGACACGGCCCAGACUAUUACGGGAGGCAGCAGUGGGGAAUAUUGGAAAAUGGGCGAAAGGCUGAUGGAGCAAUGACGGGUGAGUGAUGAAGGCCUUAGGGUUGUAAAGCUCGUUUAUCCGGGAUGAUAAUGACAGUACCGGGAGAAUAAGCUCCGGCUAACUCCGUG
This 433-nucleotide ribosomal RNA is filed under the name uncultured bacterium. RNAcentral describes it as "partial 16S ribosomal RNA". It matches the Rfam family "Bacterial small subunit ribosomal RNA", at positions 29 to 507 of the family's 1533-position model. The record is from RNAcentral.